CAGCAGUGGGGAAUAUUGCACAAUGGGCGCAAGCCUGAUGCAGCCAUGCCGCGUGUGUGAAGAAGGCCUUCGGGUUGUAAAGCACUUUCAGCGAGGAGGAAGGCAUCAUGGUUAAUACCUGUGGUGAUUGACGUUACUCGCAGAAGAAGCACCGGCUAACUCCGUGCCAGCAGCCGCGGUAAUACGGAGGGUGCAAGCGUUAAUCG
Molecule: ribosomal RNA, 206 nt
Filed under: Rahnella aquatilis
Lineage: Bacteria; Pseudomonadati; Pseudomonadota; Gammaproteobacteria; Enterobacterales; Yersiniaceae
Description: partial 16S ribosomal RNA
Rfam family: Bacterial small subunit ribosomal RNA
Source: RNAcentral